GUCUUGUCUGCUUUGGACUUUGGAGAGAGAGGAUGGACUGCAGCUGCCCGAUGCAUGUGCUUGUGGGGCCUGGCUGACCGAUGCAUCGUGCGUGCCUCACCUCCAUCUGCAGUUGGAGAGAGAGAUGGAUUGGUGCCUACGACGCGCUGGUCGACGCGGCGGCCGCCGCAGUCCGUGAGCCCGGGUGCACGGUGGCGCUCACGGACCUCCACCGCUGCCUUGAUGCCUUCAGCGAGUCCUGCGACCGAGCCGAGGGCCUCGUCCAGGCGGCCGCCGCCGGCCUCGGCCCCGUCGCCACCCGCCACGAUGAGCUGUGCCGCGCUGUUCGCGCGGUCGACAAGGAUCUCCGGGCCGCCGAGGAGAACGAGAUGGAAGAGGAGAAGCAUCGCCCUCCGACCACGCCGCUGGCGGCCGAGGACAAAUAGCCCAAUCGAUCUACCUCUUCUCCUGUUGAGGUGAUGUUCAUCGUUCUUGUUUUUUCCAUGUGAUGUUCAUCGUUCCUUUUAUUUUCUUGCUUGAUGUGCUAAUCGUGUUAGUCAUCUAGAAGAUGAAUGAAACUGUGACGGGAAAUGACAAAUGGACUGGGAUAUAUUGCCUCGCCGUGCCGCAUGGUGGCCGAGAUGCGGCAGCCGCAUGCUCUGUUCCGAUGGGCCUCCUCUGCUCGAUGUUGCUGCUCGUUGAGUUUGGUACAGUUUCCUGUUGUCGCUUGCGUCGAGCCUUGGGUCCGUCUCUCCUUCUCAUUGAGCCUACUUCUCUUGUCGCUGGCGCUUCUUCUUCUCGUCGGUCCUGCUGCUUACCAACCUUCUGCUUGCUGCCUCGGGUUGCACGAUCUCUGCUGUAGCUGCAUCGUUCGACUCAUCAAGGAAAAUUCCUAGGGAUUUGAUUGACGGAGGCAUCACUAUUUGACGUUGGAUUAUCCAUUUUUGCAGCACUAGCAAUGUUGUUUUUGUUUGGAAUGGCCAGUUCUCAAUUUCUAUUCUGUUAUCAACGAUACUGUACUUCUUGUCAGGUUACAUUAUCUUACUUGGUUUCAGUGUAUAUGUAGCACAAAAAUAGGUAACAUGGUUGUUUUCAUGCUCGAUUUGGUUUGUAGGUUACACUAAGGAACACCAUCAUAAGGAAAAGGGCAUUGCACUGCAUUGUUUAUAAUUGGCCUGUUACUAUUCGGUCUGCUGUAGUACUUAAUUGCUACACCAUUUCAAGUUAUGUAGUCUAAAAUAACCCUUUCAAAUGAACUUUUUAAAUUGAUAUUCAGAGCAUCAACAUGGUGGACUAGAUUAUGAAAUCAACUAUGAUCAUGAGAACUUGAAGCUAUUUGUUGACUAAAUUGUCAAUUGUUUUGCGUGAAUUAAAACUGGCAGUGUGAUGACAUUACUGUAGAUGCUUUGAUAUAUACAUUUGCCUAAUCCUCCCUCUCUCUAAUAUGUUCUCUUUUGUGAAGAUCCUUCGCAGAUCAAUUGGUGAGGCAGAAUGCUAAGCAUCGUUUCACAUUCAGGUUUGCUAUCAAACUCUCAAAAAGGAAAAACAACUUUACUCUGUUUUUUGGAGAACCUUCCUGUAGAGUACCUCGACAGAGACAAAUAUGCGAUCAAGGAUAUAUUCGAUGGAUUUUCAUGCAAAAUUUGGAGGAUAUUUUUGCAGAUAGUUUGGUGCUCUCAUGGUUAUUUUGUAGUGAUUUUCCUUCUGUUCAUUACUUGGUAACCAUCUACGGCAGCUCAGCUAUUGUCCAGCUGCUGACCUUGGAAAAAUGCGUGAAAAUGAUGGCCUAGAGUAUGUGAAUUGCACUCAAAUAUAUGCAGGUUUCUUGCCAAACUAACUGCCACUACUGUAUUUCAGGUCAAGAGCCAUGAAUAGGAGCAAGGCAUCACACUCCAGCUCUGAGAAGAAAAGGAUAUGAAGACAAAGAUAUCAGUGUUCUUCUCCGAAGCAAAAACAUUUUGCUUGUAAUAAUGGACUGUAAUUUACCACAAUCUCUAAAACAGGCCUACCUACUUGAUUUUGUAUUAGGAAGUAUGACUUAGUCAUAUAUAUUUACAUUCACUUUAUUUAGUUAUGGUUUGUAUGCAUGAAAAUACCUUUUCAUAAACGAGCUUGAAAAUUCUUAUGUGCAGUGAAAUUGUAUCUUA
This is a long non-coding RNA of Triticum aestivum (bread wheat), 2126 nucleotides long. RefSeq lists it as uncharacterized. The transcript has 9 exons. Lineage: Eukaryota; Viridiplantae; Streptophyta; Magnoliopsida; Poales; Poaceae. The record is from RefSeq and is a predicted model, not a curated record.